This 253-nucleotide ribosomal RNA is filed under the name uncultured bacterium. RNAcentral describes it as "partial 16S ribosomal RNA". It matches the Rfam family "Bacterial small subunit ribosomal RNA", at positions 524 to 777 of the family's 1533-position model. The record is from RNAcentral.
UACGGAGGGUGCAAGCGUUGUUCGGAUUUACUGGGCGUAAGCGCGCGCAGGUGGGUGAACAAGUCGGAAGUGAAAUCUUGAGGCUCAACCUCGAGGCUGCUCCCGAAACUGUUCGCCUAGGGACUGGUAGAGGCUGGUAGAAUUCCCGGUGUAGCGGUGGAAUGCGUAGAGAUCGGGAAGAAUACCUGUGGCGAAGGCGGCCAGCUGGGCCAGAUCCGACACUGAGGCGCGAAAGCGUGGGGAGCAAACAGGG